UUUGUCAAGGGUAUUGAGAUGAUGAUUUUGCUUGUUGUGUACCAGAUCUUUGGUCAGCCUUAUAGAAGUGCUGUUGCUUAUGUUUUGAUUACCAUAUCUAUGUGGUUUAUGGUUGGUACCUGGCUUUUUGCUCCCUUCCUGUUUAAUCCUUCCGGUUUUGAGUGGCAAAAGAUUGUUGAUGAUUGGACUGAUUGGAAUAAAUGGAUUAGUAACAAAGGGGGUAUAGGUGUACCUCCAGAAAAGAGUUGGGAAUCAUGGUGGGAAGAGGGAGGAACAGGAGCAUCUUCGUCAUUCUGGAAAACGUGGAAUUGUGGCUGAGAUAUUGUUAUCUUUACGAUUCUUUAUCUAUCAGUAUGGGCUGGUAUAUCACUUAAAGAUUACGAAAAACACCAAAAGUUUUCUGGUCUACGGAAUAUCAUGGCUGGUCAUCUUUCUGGUAUUGUUCGUAAUGAAGACGGUAUCUGUUGGGAGGCGAAAGUUCAGUGCAAACUUCCAGCUUGUGUUCCGGCUGAUCAAGGGAAUGAUAUUCCUUACUUUUGUCUCCAUUCUGGUCACUUUGAUUGCAUUGCCUCACAUGACAAUUCAAGAUAUCAUUGUAUGCAUUCUUGCUUUCAUGCCAACUGGCUGGGGUAUGCUUUUGAUUGCACAAGCUUGUAAACCUCUUGUUCAUCGUGCUGGUUUUUGGGGAUCAGUACGGACGCUCGCACGUGGUUAUGAGAUUGUCAUGGGCUUGCUUCUAUUCACUCCAGUUGCAUUCCUCGCCUGGUUUCCUUUUGUUUCUGAAUUCCAAACUCGUAUGCUAUUCAACCAAGCAUUUAGUAGAGGUCUGCAAAUUUCACGUAUUCUUGGUGGUCCAAGGAAGGAUCCGUCUUCUCGAAACAAGGAGUAACCUGGUCACUGCAACCACAGUAUAUAGUCUAUAUCUAUGUGUGUAUGUUGAGCCAUUUAUCAUUCCUGAUUCUGUCUGAAGGAUUCUUGUCC
Molecule: unclassified non-coding RNA, 981 nt
Filed under: Hevea brasiliensis (rubber tree)
Lineage: Eukaryota; Viridiplantae; Streptophyta; Magnoliopsida; Malpighiales; Euphorbiaceae
Source: RNAcentral